GACGAACGCUGGCGGCAUGCCUAAUACAUGCAAGUCGAGCGAACAGAUGAAGUGCUUGCACUUCUGACGUUAGCGGCGAACGGGUGAGUAACACGUAAGGAAUCUACCUAUAAGCGGGGGAUAACAUUCGGAAACGGGUGCUAAUACCGCAUAAUAUCUUCUUCCGCAUGGAAGAAGAUUGAAAGACGGCUCUGCUGUCACUUAUAGAUGACCUUGCGGUGCAUUAGUUAGUUGGUGGGGUAACGGCCUACCAAGACGAUGAUGCAUAGCCGACCUGAGAGGGUGAUCGGCCACAUUGGGACUGAGACACGGCCCAAACGCCUACGGGAGGCAGCAGUAGGGAAUCUUCCGCAAUGGGCGAAAGCCUGACGGAGCAAUGCCGCGUGAGUGAAGAAGGCCUUCGGGUCGUAAAACUCUGUUAUAAGAGAAGAACAAAUUGUAGAGUAACUGCUACGGUCUUGACGGUAUCUUAUCAGAAAGCCACGGCUAACUACGUG
Molecule: ribosomal RNA, 497 nt
Filed under: uncultured bacterium
Lineage: Bacteria
Description: partial 16S ribosomal RNA
Rfam family: Bacterial small subunit ribosomal RNA
Source: RNAcentral